GACACCUUGCUGUAGAAAUGGAAGAGGCAUAAAGGCUUACAGAGAACAAUUAUAUAACAAGAUCAAAUUAUUGAAAGGGGUCAUCGGGAAGAGCGGGCAGUAGUAGGAGGGCUGUGCGUCCUGUCUCGGGAAGAGUCUCCAAGCCGGCUGGGACAGCUCUUCCUCUUUGAAAUGUUUUUGUUUAGGAUUUGCCGACCCACGUGAGAACCUUAGCUUGACGAGGGCGAGGACCAUGCCUUGCUCACUCCUGGAUCCCUGGUUCCUGCAACAGUGCCUGACACAUGGCAGAAGGCCCAUGGGUACAAGAACUGACGAAUGAAUGAGCACAUGACCCUGGGGUGUGCGAGGAACUGUGGGAAGAACGCCCUGUCUGGGAAGAAGUGUGUGUCCUUGAGGAGUGGGGAACUCUCCAACAGACCAGCAGAUGGGGCACCUAAGUAGGCCUGCAUGGGAUUCAAACCACGGGGCAGGUGAACCUAGCUGAACAGAGUAUGGGCACCACUGACAACUGCCAAGGACGACUCUGUAUAGAGUGCAACAGGGGACUUGAAUCUGAAAUUAAACUAAAGCACAAACUAAACAAAAUUGUUCUGCACUGUGCUUGGUCAGCCAACAGCUAUGCUUAAAAAAGAAAAAAAGAUCUGUUCAGUUCUUGUUAAGAUCACAGUAAAAUGUUAAUGGGAUCACAAGACUUUUAUGAAUAUCUUCAACGAUCACCUUCACCUUUAAGCAGAUAGGUUCAUCGCCUCAUAUUGAACCAGUUAUCUACUAAAAACUAUCUUGCUGUUGUCGUUCACCCAUAAACUGUUGUUCUGUAGAUCUUUUCUGUCUCAUACUCGCACCAUUGAUUAUUGGACCUAAAUGCAGUGCCUCACAUUCAUGGUACAUCCUAUCUUAUUGAUUUUAGACUAUCUUUCACCUUAUGGAAUUCAUUUUAAACCUUGAUCCUAUCAUCAAUCACAGUAUUCCUCUUAGCUGGGUGUAAUUCAUAUGUGUGAUCUGCAAUCCCCCAAGGUCUGGGAUGCCUGGAGGUAAUUUCGAGAGCUCUAAGGGGCGGGGGGUGUCUACCAGGGGACACACCACCAGCCAAGUAUAAGAAAGAAAGAUGUAUUCACAGACCUGUACCCCUGGGGAUAAAAAUAUAUGUUUAUGAAAAAUAAAAAAUUUAAAAAAAAAAAAAAGAAAGAAAGAUGUGCGGCCCUAUGACUGCAGAUACGGGGCACAAAACGGUGUGUGGGGGGGGGGGGGCGAGUGUGGGCCUGGGAGGGAAUAACUGCUAGACCUCCCUCCAGGUUAGAGCAAACCGAGUCAGACUCUCCAGUGGACGCAACCCACAAAGGGUUUCUUCUAGGAAGAAGCAUUUUAGAAGUAAAAGUUGGUG
Long non-coding RNA from Mustela lutreola (European mink), 1381 nucleotides. RefSeq lists it as uncharacterized. The transcript is spliced from 3 exons. Lineage: Eukaryota; Metazoa; Chordata; Mammalia; Carnivora; Mustelidae. The record is from RefSeq and is a predicted model, not a curated record.